This is a long non-coding RNA of Oryzias melastigma (Indian medaka), 316 nucleotides long. RefSeq lists it as uncharacterized. Lineage: Eukaryota; Metazoa; Chordata; Actinopteri; Beloniformes; Adrianichthyidae. The record is from RefSeq and is a predicted model, not a curated record. The transcript has 3 exons.
GGCGAGUUGAGCACCUUUGGCUCGUGCUAAAUUGGUCCUGGUGCUGAAAGUCUGACUCCAGUUAAAUGAGAUUCAGCUCCUGCAAAUCGCAGAAGGAUAUUAGGGAGCGCAUCUUUUCCUCAGGAUGUGAGCAGUGACUGAACCGUUGGUGCCAAAAGUAGAUCCGAACGCGCGAGCUUCACGCUUCAGCGUCGGGCUUCUCCACCAGCUUCAGAGCCUCGUGCAUGCCGGCGGCCGACAGCUUCCGGUUAAUGUUCCUGUAGCGGCAGCGCAGCAGGUUGCUGUAGGUGGUCCUCAGAUCCCGGUUGAAAAAGGC